Molecule: non-coding RNA, 85 nt
Organism: Bacillus thuringiensis serovar israelensis ATCC 35646
Lineage: Bacteria; Bacillati; Bacillota; Bacilli; Caryophanales; Bacillaceae
Source: Rfam
CAGCGAGAAAGGCAAACUGAUGGAAACAUGAGGACGCAAAACUACAGGAGCUAAGGUCGAAAGGCUAUGCUAGCCAGUUACCGGA